AGUGAACGCUGGCGGUAGGCCUAACACAUGCAAGUCGAACGGCAGCACAGUAAGAGCUUGCUCUUACGGGUGGCGCGUGGCGGACGGGUGAGGAAUACAUCGGCAUCUACUUUUUCGUGGGGGAUAACGUAGGGAAACUUACGCUAAUACCGCAUACGACCUACGGGUGAAAGCAGGGGAUCUUCGGACCUUGCGCGAUCGAAUGAGCCGAUGUCGGAUUAGCUAGUUGGCGGGGUAAAGGCCCACCACGGCGACGAUCCGCAGCUGGUCUGUCAGGAUGAUCAGCCACACUGGAUCUAAAACACGGUCCAGACUACUACAGGAGGCAGCAGUGAGGAAUAUUGGACAAUGGGCACAAGCCUGCUCCAGCCAUGCCACGUGGGUGAAGAAGACCUUCGGAUUGUAAAGACCUUUUAUUGGGGAAGAAAGGCUGCAGUUUUAUACCACGAUAUUCUGACGGUACCCAAUGAAUAAGCUCCGGCUAACUUCGUG
This 492-nucleotide ribosomal RNA is filed under the name uncultured bacterium. RNAcentral describes it as "partial 16S ribosomal RNA". It matches the Rfam family "Bacterial small subunit ribosomal RNA", at positions 29 to 507 of the family's 1533-position model. The record is from RNAcentral.